UUACUGGGCAGGGGGGUAUAUUUGAUAGAGGGUAUGCAAUGUUAUGGUUGAUUGUAUAGAGAUGGUUUAUUUGGCCGUUGUUGUAUUUGGAGGAUAGAAUUUGUUUCUGUUAUGGUGGUUUAUAUAGUUGUAAUAGAUGGUUUGUUUGGUUUUGUUCAGCAGAUAUUGGGAACAGUGUGCGAUCAAAUUUUGGAAGUGCUUUGAAUUCAGUCUAUAAAAGGUCAAGCACUAAGAUACGAAAGAGAAGACAACAAAUCAGUUUGGGUUCGUUCUGGAAAAGACCGGUUAAGGAGCUUGAUGAUGCAGCA
Rosa rugosa (rugosa rose) is the source of this 308-nucleotide long non-coding RNA. RefSeq lists it as uncharacterized. The record is from RefSeq and is a predicted model, not a curated record. NCBI's taxonomy places the organism in Eukaryota, Viridiplantae, Streptophyta, Magnoliopsida, Rosales, Rosaceae. The transcript is spliced from 3 exons.